Molecule: non-coding RNA, 147 nt
Organism: Amborella trichopoda
Lineage: Eukaryota; Viridiplantae; Streptophyta; Magnoliopsida; Amborellales; Amborellaceae
Source: Rfam
GACUCUCGACAACGGAUAUCUUGGCUCUUGCCUUGAUGAAGAACGUAGCGAAAUGCGAUACUUGGCAUGAAUUGCAAAUCCCGUGAAUCAUCGAGUCUUUGACAUGGAACCCACCAACUCUCGAUGCGGGGGGUCGAUUGUGCGAUG